RNAcentral lists this ribosomal RNA (490 nucleotides) under Phyllomedusa burmeisteri (common walking leaf frog). RNAcentral describes it as "partial small subunit ribosomal RNA". It matches the Rfam family "Bacterial small subunit ribosomal RNA", at positions 794 to 1522 of the family's 1533-position model. The record is from RNAcentral. Lineage: Eukaryota; Metazoa; Chordata; Amphibia; Anura; Hylidae.
GCUCAACCGUAAACUUUUAUUUACAACUGUAACGCCAGAGAACUACAAGCAAAGCUUAAAACUCAAAGGACUUGACGGUACCCCAUAUCCACCUAGAGGAGCCUGUUCUAUAAUCGAUAACCCCCGCUUUACCUUACCAUUUUUAGCUUAUCAGUCUGUAUACCUCCGUCGUCAGCUUACCACGUGAGCGGAUCUCAGUAAGCUUAAUGCCCAUUACGCCAAUACGUCAGGUCAAGGUGCAGCAAACAAAAUGUGAAAGAAAUGGGCUACACUCUCUAAUUUAGAAUAUACAAAAAACUUUAUGAAACCAAGUUUGAAGGCGGAUUUAGCAGUAAAAAGAAAUCAAAGAGUUCUUUUUAAUAAGGCACUAGGGUGUGUACACACCGCCCGUCACCCUCUUCAAAGCCACUUAAUAGUAUCUAACCUUUAUAUGCACCCAAGAAGAGGUAAGUCGUAACAUGGUAAGUAUACCGGAAGGUGUGCUUGGAAA